GACAGAGGGGGCAAGCGUUGCUCGGAAUCACUGGGCGUAAAGGGCGCGUAGGCGGCUUGGUAUGUCGGGUGUGAAAUCCCCGGGCUCAACCUGGGAACUGCAUCCGAAACUGCCUUGCUCGAGUAUGGGAGAGGGAAGUGGAAUUUCCGGUGUAGCGGUGAAAUGCGUAGAUAUCGGAAGGAACAUCAGUGGCGAAGGCGACUUCCUGGACCAAUACUGACGCUCAGGUGCGAAAGCGUGGGGAGCAAACAGG
This 253-nucleotide ribosomal RNA is filed under the name uncultured bacterium. RNAcentral's name for it is "partial 16S ribosomal RNA". It matches the Rfam family "Bacterial small subunit ribosomal RNA", at positions 524 to 776 of the family's 1533-position model. The record is from RNAcentral.